Molecule: long non-coding RNA, 997 nt
Filed under: Anthonomus grandis grandis
Lineage: Eukaryota; Metazoa; Arthropoda; Insecta; Coleoptera; Curculionidae
Description: uncharacterized LOC126747706
Source: RNAcentral
GUUCGAGGGAAACUCGGCUCGUGAUUGGUGCAAUUGAUGACAGCUGACAGUCAAGAGGAGGAAAUUCGGGUCCGUUUUCGGUUCGCCAGGUCCUUUCCCUGGGAGGCGUCGACCGGUGCCCUUGAAAUGCGGGGGGAAGUCCCGGAAAAUCGCUCGGGAAAACCGAAAAAGUGAGGAUUAAUUAUGAAAGGUGUGUAAAAAGUGUUCUCUAGAGCGUGAGCUUCAUUUUGAUGUAAUUUUCGUGGGUGUGCCCCUAUUUUUUCUAUGGAAAAAGUGCGAGUGUGGCCUUUUCUGGGAGCUAUCGACGGUCCAGAGGAGGACACAGACAGAAAAAGACGAGAACACAGUUAGAGACAUAACCUCACAUAUGGCCCCUCUGGGUAGUUAUCGAGUCCAGAGGAGGUCGAACAGAACAGGGACAGAAGAGGACUCAAGGAAAUGCCUCCCGGAGGUAAAAAGAGUACAAACAUAACCUCACAUAAGGCCCCUCUGGGAGCAAUCGAGUCCAGAGGAGGUCGAGCAGAACAGGGACAGAAGAUAUCAUAUAAGAAAAGGACAAAAGAAGACAGUUAAGAGGAGAUGGAACCCCAAUUGUCAUGUGGUCCAUCUCGAGUAGUCCCUGGAAACAGUCGAGCAGCAGUGAAACAAAAGAGGAUCCGAGAGGGAAAUGCUUCUGGAGGUCAGAGGCAGCAACUUCCCCUAUUAGGGGACAUAAUAUGAACCAAAAAACAACUACAGAGACUGACUAUAUAUAUGCUUGAAGUAGCACUAGAGAAUUUGAUUUAAUGCAGUAUGAAGAUCUUGUACCAGAGUCCUGGACCGGAAACUUUCAUUUGUUUUGUUUUUUUCAAACAAAAGAACAGGGGAAACAGUUGAAGCUUGCAGAUGACCGGACCUUUGGAGUGUUUCUUCAUAUUUUUCUUUUGUUUUUUCCUCAAUUGUUUUAUGUAUUUUAUUGUGCAUUUUUAUUUAAAAUUGUAAUAAAGUGUGCCCUAAA